This 468-nucleotide ribosomal RNA is filed under the name uncultured bacterium. Its description in RNAcentral is "partial 16S ribosomal RNA". It matches the Rfam family "Bacterial small subunit ribosomal RNA", at positions 28 to 507 of the family's 1533-position model. The record is from RNAcentral.
GACGAACGCUGGCGGCGUGCUUAACACAUGCAAGUCGAACGGAAAGGCCCUGCUUUUGUGGGGUGCUCGAGUGGCGAACGGGUGAGUAACACGUGAGUAACCUGUCCUUGACUUUGGGAUAACUUCAGGAAACUGGGGCUAAUACCGGAUAGGAGCUCCUGCUGCAUGGUGGGGGUUGGAAAGUUUCGGCGGUUGGGGCUGGACUCGCGGCUUAUCAGCUUGUUGGUGGGGUAGUGGCUUACCAAGGCUUUGACGGGUAGCCGGCCUGAGCGGGUGACCGGCCACAUUGGGACUGAGAGACGGCCCAGACUCCUACGGGAGGCAGCAGUGGGGAAUAUUGCACAAUGGGCGGAAGCCUGAUGCAGCAACGCCGCGUGCGGGAUGACGGCCUUCGGGUUGUAAACCGCUUUCGCCUGUGACGAAGCGUGAGUGACGGUAAUGGGUAAAGAAGCACCGGCUAACUACGUG